This 301-nucleotide ribosomal RNA is filed under the name uncultured bacterium. RNAcentral describes it as "partial 16S ribosomal RNA". It matches the Rfam family "Bacterial small subunit ribosomal RNA", at positions 509 to 808 of the family's 1533-position model. The record is from RNAcentral.
CAGCAGCCGCGGUAAUACGUAGGUCCCGAGCGUUGUCCGGAUUUAUUGGGCGUAAAGGGAGCGCAGGCGGUCAGGAAAGUCUGGAGUAAAAGGCUAUGGCUCAACCAUAGUGCGCUCUGGAAACUGUCUGACUUGAGUGCAGAAGGGGAGAGUGUAAUUCCAUGUGUAGCGGUGAAAUGCGUAGAUAUAUGGAGGAACACCAAUGGCGAAAGCGGCUCUCUGGUCUGUCACUGACGCUGAGGCUCGAAAGCGUGGGUAGCGAACAGGAUUAGAUACCCCGGUAGUCCCUGUCUCUUAUACA